Molecule: transfer RNA, 84 nt
Filed under: Felis catus (domestic cat)
Lineage: Eukaryota; Metazoa; Chordata; Mammalia; Carnivora; Felidae
Also listed under: 3 other names
Rfam family: tRNA
About the family: Transfer RNA (tRNA) molecules are approximately 80 nucleotides in length. Their secondary structure includes four short double-helical elements and three loops (D, anti-codon, and T loops). Further hydrogen bonds mediate the characteristic L-shaped molecular structure. tRNAs have two regions of fundamental functional importance: the anti-codon, which is responsible for specific mRNA codon recognition, and the 3' end, to which the tRNAs corresponding amino acid is attached (by aminoacyl-tRNA synthetases). tRNAs cope with the degeneracy of the genetic code in two manners: having more than one tRNA (with a specific anti-codon) for a particular amino acid; and 'wobble' base-pairing, i.e. permitting non-standard base-pairing at the 3rd anti-codon position.
Source: Rfam by way of RNAcentral
ACCUGGGUGGCUCAGUCGUAAAGCAUCUGACUUUGGCUCAGGUCAUGAUCUCACAGUUUGUGAGUUUGAGUCCUACAUCGGGUG